UGGGGAAUAUUGGGCAAUGGGCGCAAGCCUGACCCAGCAACGCCGCGUGAGGGAAGAAGGUUUUCGGAUUGUAAACCUCUGUCGCAGAUGACGAAACAAAUGACGGUAAUCUGUGAGGAAGCCCCGGCUAACUACGUGCCAGCAGCCGCGGUAAUACGUAGGGGGCGAGCGUUGUCCGGAAUUACUGGGCGUAAAGGGAGCGUAGGCGGUCGAUUAAGUUGGAUGUGAAAUACCCGGGCUUAACUUGGGGGGUGCAUCCAAUACUGGUUGACUAGAGUACAGGAGAGGAAAGCGGAAUUCCUAGUGUAGCGGUGAAAUGCAUAGAUAUUAGGAGGAACAUCGGUGGCGAAGGCGGCUUUCUGGACUGACACUGACGCUGAGGCUCGAAAGCGUGGGGAGCAAACA
This 405-nucleotide ribosomal RNA is filed under the name uncultured prokaryote. RNAcentral describes it as "bacterial SSU rRNA". It matches the Rfam family "Bacterial small subunit ribosomal RNA", at positions 355 to 774 of the family's 1533-position model. The record is from RNAcentral.